GUUUUAAGAAGUCCUUCCGGGGAUUCUGUCUCACGUACAAGUUGGAGAAGCAGGGUUUAGACGAUGCGGUGGAGGCCCUGCAUCCUGCUCCCAGUACACAGAGGAUGACCGUAACGAUGACUUCUUGCACAGUGAAGUUUUUCCUUCGGACCUUCCACACAAAUCCGCUUAUGGGAUGUAAAUGAUGCGGUCCUGCAUUCCGAUCCAUCCUUGGGCAAAGCUCAGCGGUUUCAUGGCAGCAGCAGCAGCAGCACCUGGCAGUCAGCAUCAUUCCACCACAGUGUGAAACCACUGGGCUGAUGUGUAAAGCAGUUGAGCCCUGCAUCCACCAAGAGUGACAGUCCUGUGGGCGGCCACUGGACAAUGGAGGUGAAGUGGGGAGGCAUCAGAGUGACAGCCACGUUGUGUGCCUUCUGCACGAGCCAGACCGCAAGACAAUACUCAGAGAGAGGCAACAAUAUCCAUCCUGGCUGAGCUGAUGAUGGUGAGGGGCCCCAGAGCCAUGAAAAUGACUUGGAGCAGCCUCCAUGUAUUCCUCAGUGUUGAAUCAUUGUGUGCACCCACAGAGCAUUUGCUUUGUAAAAAAAGCUAACAUUGUGAAAAAUGGGGUAGGCACUUCCUGUUUUGACCAGGAACAAAUGCAAACCAGACCCUGCUCCUCUCACCAGGCAGAGCUUGCUCUUUCAAUUCAGAGAUAUCUGCAAGGACCCAAUUAUGCUGUGGUGUGGAAUGGAGCAUUUAUGUAAACUGAGGUUCCUGCCAAAGACACCAUCUCUUGGCUGAAUGGCAAGAUUGGCCAGGACACCAGGAAGCUGAGACUGAUUGGACACACAAGAGUGGGAGCUUGUGAGACAGUGGGAUACAGGACUAAGUAAAUUAUGUUUCUCUUCUGCCUUCUGUUCUUUGUCACUAAUGUAACAAUAGAAUAA
Molecule: long non-coding RNA, 929 nt
Organism: Rhinopithecus roxellana (golden snub-nosed monkey)
Lineage: Eukaryota; Metazoa; Chordata; Mammalia; Primates; Cercopithecidae
Exons: 5
Source: RefSeq, a predicted model, not a curated record